GUCCUAUUGUGUUAUUUAAUAGGUCUGGCCUGCCCAGUGAUAAUUUCAACGGCCGCGGUAUAUUGACCGUGCAAAGGUAGCAUAAUCAUUAGUCUUUUAAUAGGAGGCUGGAAUGAAAGGUUUAACGAGAAAUUAACUGUCUCAAUUACAAUUUUGAAUUUAUCUUUUAAGUCAAAAGACUUAAAUAUAAUUGGAGGACGAGAAGACCCUAUAGAGCUUUACAAUUACUUUUUUUAUAAUUAUUUAGCUUGAAAUUAUUUGUUUAUACUAAAAGAAUUGUUUUGUUGGGGUGACAAUAAAUAUAAAUUUAACUUUUAUCAUAAUAUUUACAUUAAUUUAUGAUUUUUGGAUCCAAAAAUUUUGAUCAUUAGACUAAGUUACC
This 382-nucleotide ribosomal RNA is filed under the name Ischnura rufostigma. RNAcentral's name for it is "partial large subunit ribosomal RNA". The record is from RNAcentral. Lineage: Eukaryota; Metazoa; Arthropoda; Insecta; Odonata; Coenagrionidae.